RNAcentral lists this ribosomal RNA (427 nucleotides) under uncultured Litorilituus sp. Its description in RNAcentral is "bacterial SSU rRNA". It matches the Rfam family "Bacterial small subunit ribosomal RNA", at positions 353 to 772 of the family's 1533-position model. Lineage: Bacteria; Pseudomonadati; Pseudomonadota; Gammaproteobacteria; Alteromonadales; Colwelliaceae. The record is from RNAcentral.
AGUGGGGAAUAUUGCACAAUGGGGGAAACCCUGAUGCAGCCAUGCCGCGUGUGUGAAGAAGGCCCUAGGGUUGUAAAGCACUUUCAGUAGGGAGGAAAGGGUAGUGAUUAAUACUCACUAUCUGUGACGUUACCUACAGAAGAAGCACCGGCUAACUUCGUGCCAGCAGCCGCGGUAAUACGAGGGGUGCAAGCGUUAAUCGGAAUUACUGGGCGUAAAGCGUGCGUAGGCGGUUUGUUAAGCAAGAUGUGAAAGCCCAGGGCUCAACCUUGGAACUGCAUUUUGAACUGGCAAACUAGAGUACUGUAGAGGGUGGUGGAAUUUCCAGUGUAGCGGUGAAAUGCGUAGAGAUUGGAAGGAACAUCAGUGGCGAAGGCGGCCACCUGGACAGAUACUGACGCUGAGGCACGAAAGCGUGGGGAGCAAA